AUACGUAGGGGGCGAGCGUUGUCCGGAAUUAUUGGGCGUAAAGGGUUCGCAGGCGGUCUGAUAAGUCAGAUGUGAAAGGCAAUGGCUCAACCAUUGUAAGCAUUUGAAACUGUCAGACUUGAGUUAAGGAGAGGAAAGUGGAAUUCCUAGUGUAGCGGUGAAAUGCGUAGAUAUUAGGAGGAAUACCAGGGGCGAAGGCGACUUUCUGGACUUAUACUGACGCUGAGGAACGAAAGCGUGGGGAGCAAACAGGAUUAGAUACCCUGGUAGUCCACGCCGUAAACGAUGAGUGCUAGGUGUUGGGGGUCAAACCUCGGUGCCGCAGCUAACGCAUUAAGCACUCCGCCUGGGGAGUACGUACGCAAGUAUGAAACUCAAAUGAAUUGACGGGG
RNAcentral lists this ribosomal RNA (392 nucleotides) under uncultured bacterium. RNAcentral describes it as "partial 16S ribosomal RNA". It matches the Rfam family "Bacterial small subunit ribosomal RNA", at positions 523 to 918 of the family's 1533-position model. The record is from RNAcentral.